Molecule: ribosomal RNA, 544 nt
Filed under: uncultured Glomeromycotina
Lineage: Eukaryota; Fungi; Glomeromycota
Description: SSU rRNA
Rfam family: Eukaryotic small subunit ribosomal RNA
Source: RNAcentral
UUGGAGGGCAAGUCUGGUGCCAGCAGCCGCGGUAAUUCCAGUUCCAAUAGCGUAUAUUAAAGUUGUUGCAGUUAAAAAGCUCGUAGUUGAAUUUCGGGAUUAGUACGCUGGUCGUGCCUUCGGUACGUACUGGUGUUACUGAUUUCUACCUUCUGACGAACCAUCAUGUCAUUAAUUUGGUGUGGUGGGGAAUCAGGACUGUUACUUUGAAAAAAUUAGAGUGUUUAAAGCAGGCUCGCGCUUGAAUACAUUAGCAUGGAAUAAUGAAAUAGGACGUUGAUCCUAUUUUGUUGGUUUCUAGGAUUGACGUAAUGAUUAAUAGGGAUAGUUGGGGGCAUUAGUAUUCAAUUGUCAGAGGUGAAAUUCUUGGAUUUAUUGAAGACUAACUACUGCGAAAAGCAUUUGCCAAGGAUGUUUUCAUUAAUCAAGAACGAAAGUUAGGGGAUCGAAGACGAUCAGAUACCGUCGUAGUCUUAACCAUAAACUAUGCCGACUAGGGAUCGGAUGAUGUUAUUCUUAAUGACUCAUUCGCGCCUUACGAAAC